RNAcentral lists this ribosomal RNA (440 nucleotides) under uncultured bacterium. RNAcentral's name for it is "partial 16S ribosomal RNA". It matches the Rfam family "Bacterial small subunit ribosomal RNA", at positions 338 to 795 of the family's 1533-position model. The record is from RNAcentral.
CCUACGGGAGGCAGCAGUGGGGAAUAUUGGACAAUGGGGGGAACCCUGAUCCAGCGACGCCGCGUGAGUGAAGAAGUAUUUCGGUAUGUAAAGCUCUAUCAGCAGGGAAGAAAAUGACGGUACCUGACUAAGAAGCCCCGGCUAACUACGUGCCAGCAGCCGCGGUAAUACGUAGGGGGCAAGCGUUAUCCGGAUUUACUGGGUGUAAAGGGAGCGUAGACGGUGCAGCAAGUCUGAUGUGAAAGGUCGGGGCCCAACCCCGGAACUGCUUUGGAAACUGUGCGGCUGGAGUGCAGGAGGGGUAAGCGGAAUUCCUAGUGUAGCGGUGAAAUGCGUAGAUAUUAGGAGGAACACCGGUGGCGAAGGCGGCUUACUGGACUGUAACUGACGUUGAGGCUCGAAAGCGUGGGGAGCAAACAGGAUUAGAUACCCUGGUAGUC